CUGCAACUCAGCCAACCAGCACAUCGGACAGUGGGAGGAGGAAUUCUUGGCUAAGAGUACUGAGAUUAUUUACCCCUCAAAAUACCCCCCAAGGUAUCUACAACCAGUUCCACAUGUCUUGUACCAAUCCAUCCCUCCUCACUCAGGGUUUUUACAUGUCUGACACCCAUGGCUCCACCUGGACUCAUCUGGAUCCGCCAACCCCAUUCCCAUGGCCCCACCCAGAAGUGAUUCAGCUUGCAGGAGGACAGCUUCAACUUCCCGUGAUUUUGUCUCUGCCCCAACCAAUCAAUAGCAAGCAUAGCCACAGCCACCCCUUUCCCAAACUGCCUUUGAGAAACCCCUAACCUAUGAACUUUGGAUGAGAAUGAUUUGAGAACUAACUCCAUCUGCCACCUGGCGUGGCUGGCCUUGUGUCUAUUAAACUCUUUCUCUACUAUAA
This 442-nucleotide long non-coding RNA is filed under the name Pongo abelii (Sumatran orangutan). RNAcentral describes it as "lincRNA". The record is from RNAcentral. Lineage: Eukaryota; Metazoa; Chordata; Mammalia; Primates; Hominidae.